Molecule: ribosomal RNA, 133 nt
Filed under: Octodon degus (degu)
Lineage: Eukaryota; Metazoa; Chordata; Mammalia; Rodentia; Octodontidae
Source: RNAcentral
GUCUACAGCCAUACCACCCUGAACACACCUGAUCUUGUUUGAUCUCAGAAGCAAAGCAGGGUUGGGCCUGGUACUUGGAUGGGAGAAACAGUAAAGGAAAUAAAAUUGAGUCAAAUGAAGUCAGAUGUAAACA